UCCUACAGAAAAUCAUUGUUUUGUGAUUGUAGUGGCGCCUCCGAUUUCACUGACAUAUAUCAGCAACCCAAGAAGUCAACACUUUCAGAAAGUACAACUUUGAAAGUUACGAUCCUAACCUGCAGAUUUAUAGUACAAUGUAAAUAGCUACCGUGCAUGUAACAACUUCAAUCAUAUACAUGGAACCCAGAAUUUACCUUCUAAGUGUCAUGUCAACUAAUGGAAACAGGAGAAGGAUAAAUUCAGGGAAGAUCAAUAAAAAUGCGGCCAAAUCCUGUCAACCACUGAAAAAUCAUGAAGUUAAUAAUUGCUGCAAAUGGAAAUUGUAUAACAAAUAGAACAACCUUAAUUUAACAACAGAAAAAACGAUGCGAUGAGCAAUAAAUCUAUACCCGUAGAGGCGCUAGCAGAGGAGAUCCAAAAGAGGGGAUUUUCAAAGGAGGGGAGAUUGGCAGAAUUUAGAUAACGAAGGAGAUCAGAGCUGAGGAGGAAGACAGACGCACCUGCUCAACGCGC
This 516-nucleotide long non-coding RNA is filed under the name Triticum aestivum (bread wheat). Its description in RNAcentral is "long non-coding RNA (TAES_LNC021809)". Lineage: Eukaryota; Viridiplantae; Streptophyta; Magnoliopsida; Poales; Poaceae. The record is from RNAcentral.